Molecule: ribosomal RNA, 480 nt
Filed under: uncultured bacterium
Lineage: Bacteria
Description: partial 16S ribosomal RNA
Rfam family: Bacterial small subunit ribosomal RNA
Source: RNAcentral
GACGAACGCUGGCGGCGUGCCUAACACAUGCAAGUCGAGCGAGUGAAUCUCCUUCGGGAGUGAAACUAGCGGCGGACGGGUGAGUAACACGUGGGCAACCUGCCUCAUAGAGGGGAAUAGCCUUUCGAAAGGAAGAUUAAUACCGCAUAAGAUUGUAGCUUCGCAUGAAGUAGCAAUUAAAGGAGCAAUCCGCUAUGAGAUGGGCCCGCGGCGCAUUAGCUAGUUGGUGAGGUAACGGCUCACCAAGGCGACGAUGCGUAGCCGACCUGAGAGGGUGAUCGGCCACAUUGGGACUGAGACACGGCCCAGACUCCUACGGGAGGCAGCAGUGGGGAAUAUUGCACAAUGGGGGAAACCCUGAUGCAGCAACGCCGCGUAAGUGAUGACGGCCUUCGGGUUGUAAAGCUCUGUCUUCAGGGACGAUAAUGACGGUACCUGAGGAGGAAGCCACGGCUAACUACGUGCCAGCCGCCGCCGUAA